UUUAAUUCAAGACUUUGAUUUUGGCAUCGGAUGUACUAAGGAGGAGUUUAAAGAUAGCUAUCCAAAGAGAGAUGAUGAUUGGUAGAGGUCGUAAGUGAAUAAGAAUUCGAUGAGUGAAUAAACGGAGAAGAGUAUGCUUGUUGCAAUGCAAGAUGAUGAGGAACAUCGAUAGAUGGAUUAUGGGCAAAUUGAAGAUGUCGUUUGGAAUCAACGGGAUAGAGG
Molecule: long non-coding RNA, 222 nt
Filed under: Trifolium pratense (red clover)
Lineage: Eukaryota; Viridiplantae; Streptophyta; Magnoliopsida; Fabales; Fabaceae
Description: long non-coding RNA (TPRA_LNC009876)
Source: RNAcentral